GAAAUACAUUGGCAGUCGAACGCACAGCGAAAGGUGCUUGCACCUUUCAAGUGAGUGGCGAACGGGUGAGUAACACGUGGACAACCUGCCUCAAGGCUGGGGAUAACAUUUGGAAACAGAUGCUAAUACCGAAUAAAACUUAGUGUCGCAUGACACAAAGUUAAAAGGCGCUUCGGCGUCACCUAGAGAUGGAUCCGCGGUGCAUUAGUUAGUUGGUGGGGUAAAGGCCUACCAAGACAAUGAUGCAUAGCCGAGUUGAGAGACUGAUCGGCCACAUUGGGACUGAGACACGGCCCAAACUCCUACGGGAGGCUGCAGUAGGGAAUCUUCCACAAUGGGCGAAAGCCUGAUGGAGCAACGCCGCGUGUGUGAUGAAGGCUUUCGGGUCGUAAAGCACUGUUGUAUGGGAAGAACAGCUAGAAUAGGAAAUGAUUUUAGUUUGACGGUACCAUACCAGAAAGGGACGGCUAAAUACGUGCCAGCAGCCGCGGUAAUACGUAUGUCCCGAGCGUUAUCCGGAUUUAUUGGGCGUAAAGCGAGCGCAGACGGUUUAUUAAGUCUGAUGUGAAAGCCCGGAGCUCAACUCCGGAAUGGCAUUGGAAACUGGUUAACUUGAGUGCAGUAGAGGUAAGUGGAACUCCAUGUGUAGCGGUGGAAUGCGUAGAUAUAUGGAAGAACACCAGUGGCGAAGGCGGCUUACUGGACUGCAACUGACGUUGAGGCUCGAAAGUGUGGGUAGCAAACAGGAUUAGAUACCCUGGUAGUCCACACCGUAAACGAUGAACACUAGGUGUUAGGAGGUUUCCGCCUCUUAGUGCCGAAGCUAACGCAUUAAGUGUUCCGCCUGGGGAGUACGACCGCAAGGUUGAAACUCAAAGGAAUUGACGGGGACCCGCACAAGCGGUGGAGCAUGUGGUUUAAUUCGAAGCAACGCGAAGAACCUUACCAGGUCUUGACAUCCUUUGAAGCUUUUAGAGAUAGAAGUGUUCUCUUCGGAGACAAAGUGACAGGUGGUGCAUGGUCGUCGUCAGCUCGUGUCGUGAGAUGUUGGGGUUAAGUCCCGCACGAGCGCACCCCUUAUUGUUAGUUGCCACCAUUCAGAUGGGGACUCUAUCGAGACUGCCGGUGACAAACCGGAGGAAGGGGGGGAGAAAAUCCAAAUAUCAUGCGCCUUUUAACUGGGGUACCACCUGCUCAAAGGGGGUAACAACAGAUUGCCACCCCCCGGGGGGAGUAAUCCUUAAA
Molecule: ribosomal RNA, 1245 nt
Filed under: Leuconostoc mesenteroides
Lineage: Bacteria; Bacillati; Bacillota; Bacilli; Lactobacillales; Lactobacillaceae
Description: bacterial SSU rRNA
Rfam family: Bacterial small subunit ribosomal RNA
Source: RNAcentral